AGGAAAAGGAAGUAACAUGGUAAAGAGAAUGUUAAUUUAUAUAAACAUAUACCAUGAUAUUCAGAUUUAUUAUACUCAGCUAAAGAAACAGAAGAAUAAUUGCCUAAAUAUAUUUGUGAAAAGGCAAAAAAUUGUGUGUGUGGGCAGAAAUCAAAAGAAACUACAUAUACAAACGCAUGAUCGAUAAUAAUUGCAAAAUUCAUUGCAUGACCAUCAGAAUAAUCAAAUAAAAAAUAUUCACCAAAAUUACACGGGCAAAAUUCUCAGAUUAAGAUGAGAAAAACCAAGAAAGCAAAUUAACAAGAAUUGAAACCAAAAAUAACAUGGGCAUUUCAUUUUCUCCAUUUUAUGCUUCCCUAAUCAAUAAAACUCCCACUUAAUAGAUUCAAGAAAAUAACAUACGGAUGCUAAUGAUCGUGUAAAAUAAGUUAUCAAAUCAAAAAAAUCAAAUCAGCAUUAUUCACCAAAGCUACACUUCAAAAAAAUCCGACUAAGAACUAUCAAGUCAAUCAAAGUCAAAUUGACAAUAAUUCUCUCAAAUUUUCCACAAUUCCAACAAAAAUCAAGAAUUUUAACCAAAACAACAAGGGUUUUCCAUUUCAUGCUUCCCUAAAUCACUCGCAUCACUACAAUCCCACAGUUAAGAAUCAAGAAGACAUAAAUACGCGUGUAAAUUAGAAAUCAAUUGGAAAAAAAAAACUAACUAUACAAAAAUUAGAAGAAACUUAAUAAUCCAAAAGAUCUGAGUGUAAGAUACCAGCUGGUCUUGUUCAGGUGCGCAGUGGACUGAUGUUAGGAAGAAAAGGGGGGAUUGUAAAUGUGCGGUUCUAGAAAUUACGGUGACUUUUGGUUUCAUAUGAAAACAAACAUGCCUGAUUGGUGCGGACGACGUGUUU
This 896-nucleotide long non-coding RNA is filed under the name Olea europaea subsp. europaea. Lineage: Eukaryota; Viridiplantae; Streptophyta; Magnoliopsida; Lamiales; Oleaceae. The record is from RNAcentral.